CAUGAAUUUUUAUGGAGGAGAAAUUAUUCCAUAUCAUACUAUAAGGGCGAUGAUAUAUGUAUAUAUGUAAUAUAUAUAAUAUAUGAUACUACGAAUUUAUCAAGACCUAUUUAACUUUUGUAUCUGAAUAUAUAUGUAAAUUAAAAAAAAACAUGAUGAUGUUUUCCAGACUGUUAUGCAAAAUGUGACUAAAUAAUUUUAACUGGAUUGCAAAUUCAUUAUACAACCUCACUAAAUGGGGUGGGUAUACAGGUGUCAAUCUACUUAAUUUUGGAAGUCAGGGGAGUCUGAAAGACUAAAGACAAAAGGAAUGACCCCAAACCAACCUACUCUAGCAAGUAAAUUUUUUUCCCAUAAAUAUACACAUUAAAAAUUCUGAAACCUCUAAUUAAACAAAUAAGUAGCUUGCAGAUUAUAAGAG
Molecule: long non-coding RNA, 421 nt
Filed under: Marmota monax (woodchuck)
Lineage: Eukaryota; Metazoa; Chordata; Mammalia; Rodentia; Sciuridae
Source: RNAcentral